ACACGUCUACAUUAGACUACCCCCGUAGUCCCAGCCGUAAACUAUGCUCGCUAGGUGUCAGGCAUGGCGCGACCGUGUCUGGUGCCGCAGGGAAGCCGUGAAGCGAGCCACCUGGGAAGUACGGCCGCAAGGCUGAAACUUAAAGGAAUUGGCGGGGGAGCACAACAACGGGUGGAGCCUGCGGUUUAAUUGGACUCAACGCCGGACAACUCACCGGGGACGACAGCAAUAUGUAGGCCAGGCUGAAGACCUUGCCUGAAUCGCUG
This 266-nucleotide ribosomal RNA is filed under the name uncultured archaeon. RNAcentral describes it as "partial 16S ribosomal RNA". It matches the Rfam family "Archaeal small subunit ribosomal RNA", at positions 717 to 982 of the family's 1478-position model. The record is from RNAcentral.